This 219-nucleotide non-coding RNA is filed under the name Thermoactinomyces sp. RNAcentral describes it as "T-box sequence". It matches the Rfam family "T-box leader". Rfam says of the family: Uncharged tRNA acts as the effector for transcription antitermination of genes in the T-box leader family. T-boxes are found upstream of many aminoacyl-tRNA synthetase genes and some amino acid biosynthetic genes usually in Gram-positive bacteria. The anticodon of a specific tRNA base pairs to a specifier sequence within the T-box motif, and the NCCA acceptor tail of the tRNA base pairs to a conserved bulge in the T-box antiterminator hairpin. Lineage: Bacteria; Bacillati; Bacillota; Bacilli; Caryophanales; Thermoactinomycetaceae. The record is from RNAcentral.
UUGAAAGUGACGAACAAGUACAGUAGCCAAUAAGUUUUUUCGAAUUCAGAGAACUGGUGGUAGGUGCAAACCAGUCGAGCCUUUUUGGUGAAUUACGCUUGGGAGCUUAUGUGGACACGGGUCUGCACGGUUUCAAACCGAUAUCAUGAUCGAGUGGGAGAUUCAUUUGUCAUGUGAUCUUCAACAAGGGUGGUACCGCGGAAUAACUUCGUCCCUUAU